Molecule: ribosomal RNA, 402 nt
Filed under: uncultured prokaryote
Description: bacterial SSU rRNA
Rfam family: Bacterial small subunit ribosomal RNA
Source: RNAcentral
UAGGGAAUAUUAGAAAUGGACGAAAGUCUGAUCUAGCAACACCGCGUGUGCGAUGAAGGCCUUCGGGUCGUAAAGCACUUUUUGGAAGGAAUAGGAAGGAAUGUACUUCCAGAAUAAGUCUCGGCUUACUACGUGCCAGCAGCCGCGGUAACACGUAGGAGGCAAACGUUAUCCGGAUUUACUGGGCGUAAAGCGCGUGUAGGUGGUUCUGUAAGUAGGGCGUGAAAGCUCUUGGCUCAACUGGGAGAGGCCGUUCUAAACUGCAGAGCUAGAGGAUGGUAGAGGGAGGUGGAAUUCCGGGUGUAGCGGUGGAAUGCGCAGAUAUCCGGAGGAACACCAGUGGCGAAAGCGGCCUCCUGGACCAUUCCUGACACUCAGACGCGAAAGCUAGGGUAGCAAACG